This 877-nucleotide ribosomal RNA is filed under the name archaeon enrichment culture clone AOM-SR-A25. RNAcentral describes it as "bacterial SSU rRNA". It matches the Rfam family "Archaeal small subunit ribosomal RNA", at positions 1 to 881 of the family's 1478-position model. The record is from RNAcentral.
UUCCGGUUGAUCCUGCCGGAGGCUACUGCUAUCGGGGUUCGAUUAAGCCAUGCAAGUUAAAUGUUCUUCGUGAACAUAGCGAACUGCUCAGUAACACGUGGAUAACCUACCCUUAGGACCGGAAUAACCCCGGGAAACUGGGGAUAAUACCGGAUAAGCCAUAGGCGCUGGAAUGCCCUAUGGUUCAAAGCUCCGGCGCCUAAGGAUGGAUCUGCGGUCUAUCAGGUUGUAGUGGGUGUAACGUACCUACUAGCCGACGACGGAUACGGGUUGUGAGAGCAAGAGCCCGGAGAUGGAUUCUGAGACACGAAUCCAGGCCCUACGGGGUGCAGCAGGCGCGAACACUUUACAAUGCGGGAAACCGCGAUAAGGGAACCCCGAGUGCCAGCAUCAAAUGUUGGCUGUCCGGAUGAUUAAAAAUCAUUUGUUAGCAAGGGCCGGGCAAGACCGGUGCCAGCCGCCGCGGUAACACCGGCGGCCCGAGUGGUAGCCGUUUUUAUUGGGUCUAAAGGGUCCGUAGCCGGCCUGAUCAGUCCUUUGGGAAAUCUGGCAGCUUAACUGUCAGGCUUCUAAGGGAUACUGUCAGGCUUGGGACCGGAAGAGGUAAGGGGUACUCCAGGGGUAGGAGUGAAAUCUUGUAAUCCCUGGGGGACCAUCUGUGGCGAAGGCGCCUUACCAGAACGGGUCCGACGGUGAGGGACGAAAGCUAGGGGAGCAAACCGGAUUAGAUACCCGGGUAGUCCUAGCUGUAAACGAUGCUCGCUAGGUGUCAGACACGGUGCGACCGUGUUUGGUGCCGCAGGGAAGCCGCUAAGCGAGCCACCUGGGAAGUACGGUCGCAAGGCUGAAACUUAAAGGAAUUGGCGGGGGAGCACUA